UAGUAGUAGUUAUGUUCUUGAAACUUAAAAAAUUUGGCGGUAUUUUAGUCUAUUCAGAGGAACCUGUCCUAUAAUCGAUAAUCCACGUUGGACCUCACUUAAGUUUGUUAAUCAGUUUGUAUACCGUCGUUAUAAGAAUAUUUUAUUAGAAUAAUAAUUUUCUAGAAUUUUUAUAAAAAUUUAUAUCAGAUCAAGGUGCAGCUUAUAUUUAAGAAGAGAUGGGUUACAAUAAAUUUAUUUAAACGGAUUAAUUUUUGAAAUAAAAUUAUGAAGGUGGAUUUGAAUGUAAAAUUAUAAAGAUAAAUAAUUUGAUUUUAGCUCUAAAAUAUGUACAUAUCGCCCGUCACUCUUAUUAUUAAGGUAAGAUAAGUCGUAACAUAGUAGAUGUACUGGAAAGUGUAUCUAGAAUGCAAUUUAAAGCUUAAAUAGUAAAGCAUUUCAUUUACAUUGAAAAGAUUUUUGUGCAAAUCAAUAUAAAUUGAUUAUAUUUUAUUUAUUAAUUUGUUUAAUUUUUUGUAUUUUAUAUUAGAAAUAACUAUAAAAAAAGUGUUUUAGUAUUUUAUAAAGAAUAAAUAAUAUUUAUAAUAGUGUAUUAGUAUUGUGAAAGAAAA
RNAcentral lists this ribosomal RNA (611 nucleotides) under Archisepsis ecalcarata. RNAcentral's name for it is "partial 12S ribosomal RNA". The stretch from base 411 to 482 matches the Rfam family "tRNA". Lineage: Eukaryota; Metazoa; Arthropoda; Insecta; Diptera; Sepsidae. The record is from RNAcentral.